UGAUGGACUUGUGGCAGGAUGAAUGUUAUCCCUCGGUCCAACCCACUUUCAGCCUGGCGCAUUAGGGGGCGCUAGUAUAAAUAGUGGCCAUUUGAGUGUCCCUGGAUCGCUUACCUGUGAUCUCCUUUUUGGUCACCUGACUUCCCUUUGGUGUUGCCGAGAUUAUUUGCGGGUUACACUUCUGAAGCCUCCAUCGCGGCUGGUCGUAGCUGUAGAAGCCUCCUCUGAGCCAUUCUGCUCAUGCUUUAUGACGCGGCUUACUCGGAAGUGUGGGCCUUAGUUUUACGCCACGCUACGCGAACCGAGGUGCUGCUGCUUUGUUUUGCUUUGCUUUGUUUUACUUUGUUUUUACUGUCUGUUCCGGCUGCGAAGUUUCUUUCCUACUGCUGCCAGCCUUUAAAGUGGACGUCGGCGUGGAGAACGGCCAUAUGCAUGCCACGCGGGUCGGCUGGCGUACAUACUGAUUGACGGACUGGAUAAUUAACUUAUAGUCGUGCAGACGGCAAGUUGGAGCAAUACGGCGAUUCCGUUUGCUCCAUAUUUUAGAGUUUUAUCCAGAUUGUAUGUUGUUUUACUGUUGUUUGAUUUGUAGUUACGCCACUGGUGGGAGGCCCUUUUUCUAGCUGUAGAUCACCAGUGUGGUCCUGCAGUUGGGUUAUCCCCCAGCGCUACACAUUAAUUUGUUGUAAUAUAUUAAAAUUUUCUUUGUUUCUUUUAUUCAGAUGCGGAGCGCCGACAUGGAGGAGACUAGGGUGCCUUGGUGGUGGGAUCCUUUCCGUGUACACACCUGCCUUGUUUAGUUUAUUAGUGUGAGUGUGUGAUAGUGUGCUGCACUUGUGUCUUGGUGUGUUUUCUUUUUUUAGUUUGUGUGUGGCAUCCCUGCCCCUCCGCUGGUAAGCCUCAGCUCUGAAUACCUUUUUAAGCAUAUUUGUACAUGGCUAUUUAUGAUUGUGCUUUUAUAUGGUGUUUUAAAUAAUUGUUAAUAAAUUGUCAACUUAUCAUUGAACCUCGUCUCUGUACUGAGUAUAGCAAACCUAAGUGCCUUUUUGGUGAUUUAGUGUUACUUCCAGUAUUCUCUGGGUGAAAUUCCCAGGGUGGCGUUGUCUUUUAAAACUGUGAAGAGUAUUUACUUUAUUUCCACCUCGUGCUGCCACAGACUGUUGCCAAA
Oreochromis niloticus (Nile tilapia) is the source of this 1168-nucleotide long non-coding RNA. RefSeq lists it as uncharacterized. The transcript is spliced from 3 exons. The record is from RefSeq and is a predicted model, not a curated record. Lineage: Eukaryota; Metazoa; Chordata; Actinopteri; Cichliformes; Cichlidae.